This 242-nucleotide ribosomal RNA is filed under the name uncultured bacterium. RNAcentral's name for it is "partial 16S ribosomal RNA". It matches the Rfam family "Bacterial small subunit ribosomal RNA", at positions 66 to 334 of the family's 1533-position model. The record is from RNAcentral.
ACGAACCUUUCGGGGUUAGUGGCGGACGGGUGAGUAACGCGUAGGAAUCUGUCCACGGGUGGGGGAUAACUCUGGGAAACUGGAGCUAAUACCGCAUGAUACCUGAGGGUCAAAGGCGCAAGUCGCCUGUGGAGGAGCCUGCGUUCGAUUAGCUAGUUGGUGGGGUAAAGGCCUACCAAGGCGAUGAUCGAUAGCUGGUUUGAGAGGAUGAUCAGCCACACUGGGACUGAGACACGGCCCAG